GAUGAAGAACGUAGCGAAAUGCGAUAAGUAAUGUGAAUUGCAGAAUUCAGUGAAUCAUCGAGUCUUUGAACGCACAUUGCGCCCCCUGGUAUUCCGGGGGGCAUGCCUGUCCGAGCGUCAUUGCUGCCCUCAAGCACGGCUUGUGUGUUGGGCCCCGCCCCCCGGCUCCCGGGGGGCGGGCCCGAAAGGCAGCGGCGGCACCGCGUCCGGUCCUCGAGCGUAUGGGGCUUCGUCACCCGCUCCGUAGGCCCGGCCGGCGCCCGCCGGCGACCCCCCUCAAUCUUUUCAGGUUGACCUCGGAUCAGGUAGGGAUACCCGCUGAACUUAAGCAUAUCAAUAAGCGGACGA
This 348-nucleotide unclassified non-coding RNA is filed under the name soil metagenome. Its description in RNAcentral is "partial contains 5.8S ribosomal RNA, internal transcribed spacer 2, and large subunit ribosomal RNA". The stretch from base 1 to 120 matches the Rfam family "5.8S ribosomal RNA", at positions 35 to 154 of the family's 154-position model. The record is from RNAcentral.